This 1458-nucleotide ribosomal RNA is filed under the name uncultured Bordetella sp. Its description in RNAcentral is "partial 16S-23S ribosomal RNA intergenic spacer". It matches the Rfam family "Bacterial small subunit ribosomal RNA". The record is from RNAcentral. Lineage: Bacteria; Pseudomonadati; Pseudomonadota; Betaproteobacteria; Burkholderiales; Alcaligenaceae.
GGUCGAUUAUGGUCAGAUUGAACGCUGGCGGGAUGCUUUACACAUGCAAGUCGAACGGCAGCACGGACUUCGGUCUGGUGGCGAGUGGCGAACGGGUGAGUAAUGUAUCGAACGCUCUUAGUAGCGGGGGAUAACUACGCGAAAGCGUAGCUAAUACCGCAUACGCCCUGGGGAAAGCGGGGGACCUUCGGGCCUCGCACUAUUAGAGCGGCCACUGAUUUAAUAGUUGGUAGUAACGGCCUUACCAGUAGCGACGAUCCGGCUGGUUUGAGAGGACGACCAGCCACACUGGGACUGAGACACGGCCCAGACUCCUACGGGAGGCAGCAGUGGGGAAUUUUGGACAAUGGGGAAACCCUGAUCCAGCCAUCCGCGUGCGAUGAAGGCGCCUUCUGGCUAGGGAGCACUUUUGGCAGGAAAGAAACGGCACGGAUGACACUCGUGCAACUGACGGUACCAGAGAAUAGCACCGGCUAACUACGUGCCGGCAGCCGUGGUAAUACAGGGUAAGCGUUAAUCGGAAUUACUGGGCGUAAAAGCGUGCGCAGGCGGUUCGGAAAGCAAAGAUGGAAACUCUGGCAGAGCUUAACUUUGAACUGCAUUUAAAACUACCGAGCUAGAGUGUGUCAGAGGGGAGUGGAAUUCCGCGUGUAGCAGUGAAAUGCGUAGAUAUGCGGAGUGGGUUCACCGAUGGCGAAGGCAGCCUCCUGGGAUAACACUGACGCUCAUGCACGAAAGCGUGGGGAGCAAACAGGAUUAGAUACCCCUGGUAGUCCACGCCCUAAACGAUGUCAACUAGCUGUUGGGGCCUUCGGGCUCGGUAGCGCAGCGCUAAUCGCGGCAGUUGACCGCUCGGGGUGCUGUCGCAAGAUUAAAACUCAAAGGAAUUGACGGGGACCCGCACAAGCGGUGGAUGAUGUGGAUUAAUUCGAUGCAACGCGAAAAACUCCACUCUACCCUUGACAUGUCUGGAAUCCCGAAGAGAUUUGGGAGUAUGCUCGCAAGAGAACCGGAACACAGGUGCUGCAUGGCUGUCGUCAGCUCGUGUCGUGAUGUUAUUAAGUCCGCAACGAGCGUUAACCUUGUCAUUAGUUGCUACGAAAGGGCACUCUAAUGAGACUGCCGGUGACAAACCGAGGAAGGUGGGGAUGACGUCAAGUCCUCAUGGCCCUGCGGGUAGGGCUUCACACGUCAUACAAUGGUCGGGACAGAGGGUCGCCAACCCGCGAGGGGGGAGCCAAUCCCAGAAACCCGAUCGUAGCCCGGAUCGCAGUCUGCAACUCGACUGCGUGAAGUUUGAACUGCUAGUAAUCGCGGAUCAGCAUGUCGCGGUGAAUACGUUCCGGGUCUUGGCACCGCCCGUCACACCAUGGGAGUGGGUUUUACCAGAAGUAGUUAGCCUAACCGUAAGGAGAGGGCGAUUACCACGGUAGGAUUCAUGACUGGGGUGAAGUCGUA